Molecule: non-coding RNA, 107 nt
Filed under: Bacillus sp. (in: firmicutes)
Lineage: Bacteria; Bacillati; Bacillota; Bacilli; Caryophanales; Bacillaceae
Also listed under: 1 other name
Description: Bacillus sp. SAM-I sequence
Rfam family: SAM riboswitch aptamer (S box leader)
About the family: The SAM riboswitch is found upstream of a number of genes which code for proteins involved in methionine or cysteine biosynthesis in Gram-positive bacteria. The SAM riboswitch acts at the level of transcription termination control.
Source: RNAcentral
AACUUAUCUAGAGAGACUGAGGGAAUUGGCCCGAUGAUGUCCGGCAACCUGCAUAGCAUGCAAGGUGCUAACUCCAACAAAAUGUGAUGCAUUUUGGGAGAUAAGGU